GAAUAUUCCGCAAUGCACGAAAGUGUGACGGAGCAAUGCCGCGUGCAGGAUGAAUCCCCUCGGGGUGUAAACUGCUGUCAGUGACUAGAAAAAAAAUGAUCAGUCGCAAAGGAAGGACCGGCUAAUCUCGUGCCAGCAGCCGCGGUAAUACGAGAGGUCCGAGCGUUACGCGGAAUUACUGGGCUUAAAGCGUACGUAGGCGGAUCUACAGGUAUCCUGUGAAAGCCCACGGCUCAACCGUGGAAUUGCAGGGUAAACCGUAGAUCUUGAGGUGGCUAGGGGCUCUCGGAACGGUAGGUGGAGUGGUGAAAUGCGUUGAUAUCUACCGGAACGCCAAAGGGGAAGCCAGG
Molecule: ribosomal RNA, 350 nt
Filed under: uncultured bacterium
Lineage: Bacteria
Description: bacterial SSU rRNA
Rfam family: Bacterial small subunit ribosomal RNA
Source: RNAcentral